GGCACCUGUGGUUCGAGACCCUCUCCUCACCGUCGACCCAUCAGUAGCCACGACGCCAUCGAGCUACCAAACUCAGCCACGACAAAACCUACAACCAAUUCAAACUCGAUUCUCCUCCCUCGGCUAAGCUUCAUCUCCGUUUCGUUUCUCGACGCACAUCGCCACGCUCUGUCUCGCAUCAUCUCCAUGGUAGGUUUCAGAUCUAUUCUAUGGAAAAUUGGUUUCCCAUCUUCACUGUUUCGUGUUCAUGGUUAGGGUUUCGUGAUUCCAAUCACAAGAUGUUGCAGAACCCUCUUGCGUCAUCUCUCUUUGCCCCUUCCAACAACGCCGAUUCUGCAAAAAGCUCUUCGCUGACCACGCAUUGAUUGAUUUUCUCCUUCUUUGUUUUUGGUGGUGGCUGUUCUGGUAUGGAAACGUAUAAUGUUCCUGAAACUAGAAACUCGGAUGCUUUCUUGGUUGAAGCUGCUGAUAUAAACUCGCACUUCCCAAGCUCAAAUCUUGAACAAACUGAAGUUGAGUAAUUAUUAUAAAUAUUUGUAUUAAGCUC
Molecule: long non-coding RNA, 547 nt
Organism: Lotus japonicus
Lineage: Eukaryota; Viridiplantae; Streptophyta; Magnoliopsida; Fabales; Fabaceae
Exons: 3
Source: RefSeq, a predicted model, not a curated record